Molecule: ribosomal RNA, 309 nt
Filed under: uncultured bacterium
Lineage: Bacteria
Description: bacterial SSU rRNA
Rfam family: Bacterial small subunit ribosomal RNA
Source: RNAcentral
GACGAACGCUGGCGGCGUGCCUAACACAUGCAAGUCGAACGGGAGCAAGUGCUUCGGUAUUUGCUUUAGUGGCGAACGGGUGAGUAACGCGUGAAUAACCUGCCUUUCAGAGGGGGACAACAGUUGGAAACGACUGCUAAUACCGCAUGACGCGUUAGAGGUCGCAAUGAUCUUUACGCCAAAGAUUUAUCGCUGAAAGAUGGCCUCGCGUCUGAUUAGCUAGUUGGUGAGGUAACGGCCCACCAAGGCGACGAUCAGUAGCCGGACUGAGAGGUUGACCGGCCACAUUGGGACUGAGAUACGGCCCAG